Molecule: ribosomal RNA, 699 nt
Filed under: uncultured Bacteroidales bacterium
Lineage: Bacteria; Pseudomonadati; Bacteroidota; Bacteroidia; Bacteroidales
Description: bacterial SSU rRNA
Rfam family: Bacterial small subunit ribosomal RNA
Source: RNAcentral
ACAUGCAAGUCGAGGGGCAGCAUGGUCUUAGCUUGCUAAGGCCGAUGGCGACCGGCGCACGGGUGAGUAACACGUAUCCAACCUGCCGUCUACUCUUGAACAGCCUUCUGAAAGGAAGAUUAAUACAAGAUGGCAUCAUGAGUCCGCAUGUUCACAUGAUUAAAGGUAUUCCGGUAGACGAUGGGGAUGCGUUCCAUUAGAUAGUAGGCGGGGUAACGGCCCACCUAGUCUUCGAUGGAUAGGGGUUCUGAGAGGAAGGUCCCCCACAUUGGAACUGAGACACGGUCCAAACUCCUACGGGAGGCAGCAGUGAGGAAUAUUGGUCAAUGGGCGAGAGCCUGAACCAGCCAAGUAGCGUGAAGGAUGACUGCCCUAUGGGUUGUAAACUUCUUUUAUAAAGGAAUAAAGUCGGGUAUGGAUACCCGUUUGCAUGUACUUUAUGAAUAAGGAUCGGCUAACUCCGUGCCAGCAGCCGCGGUAAUACGGAGGAUCCGAGCGUUAUCCGGAUUUAUUGGGUUUAAAGGGAGCGUAGAUGGAUGUUUAAGUCAGUUGUGAAAGUUUGCGGCUCAACCGUAAAAUUGCAGUUGAUACUGGAUAUCUUGAGUGCAGUUGAGGCAGGCGGAAUUCGUGGUGUAGCGGUGAAAUGCUUAGAUAUCACGAAGACUCCGAUUGCGAAGGCAGCCUGCUAAGCUGCAACUG